RNAcentral lists this ribosomal RNA (450 nucleotides) under uncultured bacterium. Its description in RNAcentral is "bacterial SSU rRNA". It matches the Rfam family "Bacterial small subunit ribosomal RNA", at positions 27 to 507 of the family's 1533-position model. The record is from RNAcentral.
CGGACGAACGCUGGCGGCACGCCUAACACAUGCAAGUCGAACGCCCUCUUCGGAGGGAGUGGCGGACGGGUGAGUAACGCGUGGGAACCUGCCCCGUGGUGGGGAAUAACCCAGGGAAACUUGGGGUAAUACCGCAUAAGCCCGACGGUUUUGGAGAUCGUCGGGGAAAGAUUUAUCGCCACGGGAUGGGCCCGCGUCGGAUUAGCUUGUUGGUGAGGUAACGGCUCACCAAGGCGACGAUCCGUAGCUGGUCUGAGAGGACGAUCAGCCACACUGGGACUGAGACACGACCCAGACUCCUACGGGAGGCAGCAGUGGGGAAUCUUGGACAAUGGGGGAAACCCUGAUCCAGCGAUGCCGCGUGAGCGAAGAAGGCCUUAGGGUUGUAAAGCUCUUUCGCCCACGACGAUGAUGACGGUAGUGGGAGAAGAAGCCCCGGCUAACUCCGUG